Molecule: ribosomal RNA, 1056 nt
Filed under: uncultured Actinomycetes bacterium
Lineage: Bacteria; Bacillati; Actinomycetota; Actinomycetes
Description: bacterial SSU rRNA
Rfam family: Bacterial small subunit ribosomal RNA
Source: RNAcentral
GGGUAGCCGGCCUGAGAGGGCGACCGGCCACACUGGGACUGAGACACGGCCCAGACUCCUACGGGAGGCAGCAGUGGGGAAUAUUGCGCAAUGGGCGAAGGCCUGACGCAGCGACGCCGCGUGAGGGAUGAAGGCCUUCGGGUUGUAAACCUCUUUCAGCAGGGACGAAGCGAAAGUGACGGUACCUGCAGAAGAAGCACCGGCCAACUACGUGCCAGCAGCCGCGGUAAUACGUAGGGUGCAAGCGUUGUCCGGAAUUAUUGGGCGUAAAGAGCUCGUAGGCGGUCUGUCGCGUCGGCUGUGAAAACUCGGGGCUCAACCCCGAGCCUGCACUCGAUACGGGCAGACUAGAGUGCUGUAGGGGAGACUGGAAUUCCUGGUGUAGCGGUGAAAUGCGCAGAUAUCAAGAGGAACACCGGUGGCGAAGGCGGGUCUCUGGGCAGUAACUGACGCUGAGGAGCGAAAGCGUGGGGAGCGAAUAGGAUUAGAUACCCAGGUAGUCCACGCCGUAAACGGUGGGUGCUAGGUGUAGGCGGUAUUCCACGCCGUCUGUGCCGCAGCUAACGCAUUAAGCACCCCGCCUGGGGAGUACGGCCGCAAGGCUAAAACUCAAAGGAAUUGACGGGGGCCCGCACAAGCAGCGGAGCAUGGGCUUAAUUCGACGCAACGCGAAGAACCUUACCAAGGCUUGACAUGCAGGGAAAUCUCCCAGAGAUGGGAGGUCCGCAAGGGUCCUGCACAGGUGGUGCAUGGUUGUCGUCAGCUCGUGUCGUGAGAUGUUGGGUUAAGUCCCGCAACGAGCGCAACCCUCGUUCUAUGUUGCCAGCGGUUCGGCCGGGGACUCAUAGGAGACUGCCGGGGUCAACUCGGAGGAAGGUGGGGAUGACGUCAAACCAUCAUGCCCCUUAUGUCUUGGGCUGCACACAUGCUACAAUGGCCGGUACAAAGGGCUGCUAAACCGCGAGGUGGAGCGAAUCCAAAAAAGCCGGUCUCAGUUCGGAUUGGGGUCUGCAACUCGACCCCAUGAAGUCGGAGUCGCUAGUAAUCGCAGAUCAG